GUGUGCCUACGGGAGGCAGCAGUGGGGAAUAUUGCGCAAUGGGGGCAACCCUGACGCAGCAACGCCGCGUGCAGGAAGAAGGUCUUCGGAUUGUAAACUGUUGUCGCAGGGGAAGAAGACAGUGACGGUACCCUGUGAGAAAGUCACGGCUAACUACGUGCCAGCAGCCGCGGUAAUACGUAGGUGACAAGCGUUGUCCGGAUUUACUGGGUGUAAAGGGCGCGUAGGCGGGAUAGGCAAUCAGUCGUGAAAUGCCGAGGCUUAACC
Molecule: ribosomal RNA, 267 nt
Filed under: uncultured bacterium
Lineage: Bacteria
Description: partial 16S ribosomal RNA
Rfam family: Bacterial small subunit ribosomal RNA
Source: RNAcentral